Molecule: long non-coding RNA, 295 nt
Filed under: Ananas comosus (pineapple)
Lineage: Eukaryota; Viridiplantae; Streptophyta; Magnoliopsida; Poales; Bromeliaceae
Description: long non-coding RNA (ACOM_LNC031296)
Source: RNAcentral
GGUAGUGGAUGGUUUUCAUGUACAUACUCUGCGUUUUGUGUAUUCGCUGGAGCGAGGUGUUAUGGUGGACUUUUGUAUGUACAGUGAACCCUUUAAGUUUUAUAUAUGUUUAGUUUUAGCAGCUCUGUACUUUUGUUGUAAUUUCUAUUCGUUUGUAGGUACAGCUAUCGUUUCGUAUACACGAAAAAUUCCUAUGUAUAUGGCAGGUCUGUUGGCGUGCCCGGUGAAACGUGGUAAUCCGAUGCGUGACAUUAAUAUUUAUGAUUCAUAUAUACAAUAGCAGCGUUACUUUGUA